RNAcentral lists this long non-coding RNA (318 nucleotides) under Vigna radiata. RNAcentral describes it as "long non-coding RNA (VRAD_LNC002110)". Lineage: Eukaryota; Viridiplantae; Streptophyta; Magnoliopsida; Fabales; Fabaceae. The record is from RNAcentral.
AAUAAAAUAUGAACAUGCAAAAGAGAUUGAUUCAAUUGACGAGAAGAAAACAAUGGAUGAAUGGAGUUUUUGGGGGUUUACAAUUUCAUCUUAUCCGCUCUCUCUUAUUUACUCCUCUUGAUUUAUUAGCUUGAUUAACUAAUUGUCAUGCAACUUUCUUAGCCUACCCUUANCUUAUCCGCUCUCUCUUAUUUACUCCUCUUGAUUUAUUAGCUUGAUUAACUAAUUGUCAUGCAACUUUCUUAGCCUACCCUUAACCCGAUCCCUCGGCGAAAAGAGCCUAUUACUAAUUACUGGCUUGCUAUCCCUAGCCUCCCU